CCUACGGGAGGCAGCAGUGGGGAAUAUUGGACAAUGGGGGGAACCCUGAUCCAGCGACGCCGCGUGAGUGAAGAAGUAUUUCGGUAUGUAAAGCUCUAUCAGCAGGGAAGAAAGAAAUGACGGUACCUGACUAAGAAGCCCCGGCUAACUACGUGCCAGCAGCCGCGGUAAUACGUAGGGGACAAGCGUUAUCCGGAUUUACUGGGUGUAAAGGGAGCGUAGACGGCGAUGCAAGUCUGAAGUGAAAGGCGGGGGCCCAACCCCCGGACUGCUUUGGAAACUGUAUGGCUGGAGUGAAGGAGAGGUAAGUGGAAUUCCUAGUGUAGCGGUGAAAUGCGUAGAUAUUAGGAGGAACACCAGUGGCGAAGGCGGCUUACUGGACUGUAACUGACGUUGAGGCUCGAAAGCGUGGGGAGCAAACAGGAUUAGAUACCCUGGUAGUC
RNAcentral lists this ribosomal RNA (443 nucleotides) under uncultured bacterium. RNAcentral's name for it is "partial 16S ribosomal RNA". It matches the Rfam family "Bacterial small subunit ribosomal RNA", at positions 338 to 795 of the family's 1533-position model. The record is from RNAcentral.